AUUUGAAAAAAAAAUUAGAAACUGCGCAACCACAGGAAAACCGCCUGGCAAAGAUUCAAAGUGUAGGCAAAAACCUGCAGAGAGUGAACAGAGUCCUCAUGGGCCCAAGGAGCAUCCAGGAAAGGCACUUCAAAAAGGUGGGAAAGCACAGCACUAGGAAAGAACAGGAUGCCCAGGCAUUUGUGGACAAUGCUGCCAAAGGAAAAAGGCUUGAGGGUCCAGCCCCAAGGGAGCUGGAACAGCCUCACAUAGUGCAGGGGCCUGAGAAGGUAGUGGGAAACACCAUCUACACCAAGCCUUCAUUCACCCAAGAGCAUAAGGCAGCAGUCUCCUCUGUGCUGAAACCCUUCUCCAUGGGCGUGCCUUCUGCCUCUAGCCCUGCAAAAGCCCUACCUCAGGUCAGAGACAGAUCGAAAGACUUAGCCUACACCAUUUUAAUUUUAGAAAUGGCAAUGGCUAGAGUGAAAAACAUGAAGGCUGCUAAACCAAUCACACAUUCCAGAAAAAAAUAGCGCUUUUAUAAAACUCACUCCAUUGUGGCCCACAGAACACCCAAGGCCAAAAAGAUUAGAAAGUUUAGAAAGGGCAGUUAUCUCAACAGACCGAUGCUCGCAAAGAGGCCGCUGUUCUCUGCAGCAAAGAGCCUCAUACAUUCGCAAGGGAUUUUUUCAUCCUUAGGAGACCUGAGUCCUCAAGAAAACCCUCUUCUGGAAGUAGUUGCUCCUUCAGAACGUUUUACAGAAAACACUAAUGUAAAAGACACAACUAAUGUAAAAGACACAAAAGAGAUGUGUUCAAAGACACAUCUCUGAAAACACAAACUACAAUCAUCCUCCUGAGGCAGUUUCCGCUGGGACUGCAUUCAACUUAGAACCAACUGUUAAACAAACUGAGACAAAAUGGGAAUACAACAAUGUGGGCAUUGACUUGUCCCCUGAGCCCAAAAGCUUCAAUUACCCAUUGCUCUCGUCCCCAGGUGAUCAGCUUGAAAUUCAGCUAACCGAGCAGCUACGGUCCCUCAUCCCCAACGAGGAUGUGAGAAAGUUCAUGUCUCAUGUUAUCUGGACCUUGAAAAUGGAAUGUUCAGAAACACAUGUGCAAGGGAGCUGUGCCAAGCUCAUGUCGCGAACAGGCCUCCUGAUGAAGCUUCUCAGCGAGCAGCAGGAAGCAAAGGCAUUGAAUGUAGAAUGGGAUACGGACCAACAAAAAACAAAUUAUAUUAAUGAGAACAUGGAACAGAAUGAACAGAAAGAGCAGAAGUCAAGUGAGCUCAUGAAAGAAGUUCCAGGAUAUGACUAUAAGAACAAACUCAUCUUCGCAAUAUCUGUGACUGUCAUACUAAUAAUUUUGAUUAUAAUUUUUUGUUUUAUAGAGGUAAAGACAAUAAUUAAUUCAGGUUUUCAAAAUACAAUCCUGUGUUUGUGUGGAUUCAGAAUCCACAAACUGAAAACCAACGUCACUUUCCCACUUGACAUUCUUCUUCUGUCAUUUAAGGCUGAGGUGUGCUUUGUUCUUUUACUGCAAUGUAUAUUCCAGGAUUGUUAAAGGAUCCUCGCUUCCAGGAGGUCUCUGUGAAAUAAAACCAAGUUAAUCCCACUAGACUAUUUUAAGAAGUUAAGUUGAUAUAAUAGCAAAAUUUCUCCCACCCAAAACUAUGUCAACAAUUGGAUGUACUCACUGAGUCACCCCUUACUCUGCCACUAAUUUAUUUCCUUGUUGCUUAAAUGAUGAGAGACAUAUAAUCUCCACCCUCACGGAGUUGUCAUCACCCUGGAGAGGAAGAAGACAGCCAAAAGAGAGAAGUAUUGUCUUGUAGACUUACUAGAUUCACAUAGUAUCAUCCUUCUCCAGUGUGUAAGGUGUUGUCUAAAUAGGUCCAGUUAAAGAACUACAGGGUAGCCAUUUUUAAAAAAAAAUUUUGGCCACGUUUUCAAAUUCACAGGGGAGGGGGAAUGUCUCAUACUCCAGCCCUCCUGAGCCUAGGCCCUCUGUGAGAUGUGUCACCAUUUCUUGGACACCAUAUGAGACAUUCCCCCUCGGAUUAGAGAUGCUCAACCUGCAUCAACAAAUCUAAAGCCUGCAUCUGGCUACCCUGGGGCGAGUCCUGUUUACAGUGCCUAUUCCUGGAGCUCGCCUCUUUUUGCCUUUUGUUUGAUUAUGUGAUGUAUUACUUUUCCCAGCAGGCCAGUGCUAGCAUACUGGAAGAGGGAUUUAAUAAGCUGGCACCCUUGAUGCUAUGCUCCUAAUCCAACCUUAUUUGCCUCAUUGGCCAUUUCCAUUAUGGUGGCAGCCCUCCAUUCCAGCCACAGCAGCCCCUCAGCGUCCCCCAGUCACACUGUCCCCAUUGCUGCUCAUCUGUGCCUUUGUCCAUCUACAAUGCCCUUAUUUCACUCUGCCUGUGGGAGUCCUGUGAAUCUCUCCAAAGCCAACUCAGUUCAUCUUUCUGCUUGAAACCUUCCCUGAAUAGGCCAGGUGCGGUGGCUCACGCCUGUAAUCCCAGCACUUUGGGAGGCCAAGGCAGGCGGAUCACAAGGUCAGGAGAUCGAGACCAUCCUGGCUAACACAGACCAUUCUCUACUAAAAAUGCAAAAAAUUAGCUGGGUGUGGUGGCGGGCGUGUGUCGUCCCAGCUACUUGUGAGGCUGAAGCAGGAAAAUGGCAUGAACCUGGGAGGUGGAGCAUGCAGCCAGCCAAGAUCGGGCCGCUGCACUCCAGCCUGGGGGACAGAGCGAGACUCUGCCUCAAAAAAAAAAAAAAAAAGAAACUUCCCUGAAUAUUCCAGCCCUCCUGAGCCUAGUCCCUUUGUGAGAUUUGUCCCCAUUUCUUGGACACCAUAUAAGAGACUUCAGAGGCUGAAGUGGGAGGAUUGCUUGAGCCUGGGAGGUCGAGGAUGCAGUGAGCUGUGGUCAUACCACUGCACUCUAGCCUGGGCAACAGAGCGAGACCUUGUCUCAAAAACAGCCACCACCAAAAACUAUCUUGGGAUUUGAAUAGGAUUACCUUAAAUUUGUAGAUUAAUUUGAGAAUUGACAUCUGUACGACAUUCUAGAACAUGGUAUUUCAUGUCAUGUAUUCAUUUCUUGUUAAUGUCUUUCAGAAGAGUUUUAGGGUUUCCAUCAUAUAGAUCUUACACGUCUUUUGUUAGAUAACAGAUCUUUGUAUUUUUGUUCCUAAAUACUUCAGACAUUUGUAUUGCCAUUGUAAAUGGGAUCUUUCUUCCAUUUUCUAGUUAGUUAUUGGUGGUACAUCUGAAAAGCAUUUGAGGUUUGUGUGCUGCUCUCUUGAUUUUGUUUCUAGCCACCGUACUGAAUUCUCAUAUUACUUCCAGUAAAAUCUUAGUUGAUUCUCUUAGGCUUCUUUGGCUAACAUUUAUUAUUUUAUAUGCAAAUAAUUAUAGUUUUGUCUCUUCCUUUUCAAUACUUACACUCUUUCCUUCCUUUCCUUUCUUUUUUUUUUCUUUCUCAGGGCCUUGUUGUCACCCAGACUGGAGAGCAAUGGUGUGAUCUAGCUCACUGUAACCUCAAACUCCUGGGCUUAAGGGAUCCUCCUGCCUCAGCUUCCUGAGUGGCUGGGACUACAGGCAGGCAGUGAAUUUUAAAACUUUUGGUGUAGAGACAAGAUCUUGCUAUGUUGCCCAGGCUGGUUUUCCUGCCACUUUAGAGCAGGUUUCCUUUUUUUCAUACUUUUAAGAGGUUUUUAUUAGGAAUUGUCCAUUGAAUGUUAGCUAAAACAGUCAAUAAAAUGCGUUAAGUACCAGCUACAUGCAAGACCCUAAGUUAGAUACAGUCAGCCCUCUUCAUCAGCAGGUCCACAUCUUCAGAUUCAACUAGAUAAGGCUGAAUAUUUGAAGAAAAAAACAAUAAAAAUACAAUUAGAAAGUACAGUAUAACAACUGUUGCCAUGAUACAAUAUCUAUACAUUUUAUUAGUGAUGACCUAAAGUUCAUGGGACCAGGCACGGUGACUCACACUUGUAAUCCCAACACUUUGGGAGGCCAACCUGGGCAGCAUAGUGAGACCUUGUCUUUAAUAAAAAUAAAAAUAAAAAAAUUAGCUAGUGUGGUGGUAUGCACCUGUAGUCCCAGCUACUCAAGAGGCUGAGGUGGGCAGAUCACUGGAGCCCAGGAGGUUGCGGCUGCUGUGAGCUGUGAUUGUGACACUGCUCUCCAGCCUGAGUGACAGAGGGUGAUCCUGUCUCUAAGUAAGUAAAUAAAUAAAGUAUAUGGGGGGGAUGUGUGUUGGUUAUAUGCAAACACUGCACCAUUAUACGUAAGGGAUUGAGCAUCCACAGAUUCUGGUAUGGUGUGGAGGCGAUAUCCUAGAACCAGUCGUCUGCAAGGUAGCAAGGAUGACUGAACUGUGGAAGAAUCAAAGCACUGUUAAACAGCAUACAAUUCCUGUCUUCAAAAAAGUUAUCUCAUCGGGUAGAUGAGACUUAAAAUGAAUAAAAGGAAUGAAUACACAUUGGAGAUAGUGGUUGUUGUGAUAGAUAACCUUAAUUGUGUUUUCUUCCAAAACGGGUGAAUUCACAUAAAAGGGCAUCAGAAAAAUACAAAGACAACCCAUCAAUAUCAGGAGCCUGAGCAUGAGUUAAAGCAUGUGGAUGGCCUAGAGCCAUGUUUUUAAAAUUGUUAUUAAAUAUUGGUUUUUUACUUAAAUCAAUGAAAACUUUCUUUACUUUGUGGUUGUGUUCCUCAAAAUGAGAAUUUUUAACAAUAAUAAAAAUAAAGCUUAUUAGAUCAUU
This is a long non-coding RNA of Homo sapiens (human), 4742 nucleotides long. The record is from Ensembl. Lineage: Eukaryota; Metazoa; Chordata; Mammalia; Primates; Hominidae.